Brassica oleracea var. oleracea is the source of this 599-nucleotide long non-coding RNA. RefSeq lists it as uncharacterized. Lineage: Eukaryota; Viridiplantae; Streptophyta; Magnoliopsida; Brassicales; Brassicaceae. The record is from RefSeq and is a predicted model, not a curated record. The transcript has 3 exons.
CGUUCGUCGCUUCCUGCGAAUAACAUCAUAAAGCGUCACCCCGCUAAACCUAAUUAUCACCUUCGUUCAUCCGAGUCUGAUCUCGGCGGCGAGAAUGACGAUCCAUCGUUCUCAUUCUCCCUGUAACAGAACUUGACUUUAAUGGCAUCAAUGCGUUCGUCGAGAUCUCCGUUAUAAAUAGGUUUUUUUUUCUGAUUUGAAGACCAGGAAGUGUUCAAACGUUAAGCGGGAUGGAUAUUGCGGCUUCAUCUAAUCUCUUUGCAAUCUAAUCGCGUCUUCACACAGCUUCUUCCCCGUUUAUCUCCGCACCAAACAGGAAUUGAGUUUUUAUCCUCGCCAAAUCAUGCCCAGACAAUCAGAGCUUCGGUUCGAACGAUUCCAAUUUUCACUGGAGACAAACCAACGAAACCCAUGUGCAAAGUCUGGGUCUUUUUAUAUUUAUCAAUAUUAAAUUCACUAUUUUGUGAAAGUCAAUAUCUUUUUCUUGGCUUCCAUUGAUGCUAAGAACAUUAGUGUAUGUAUUUAAAUGUUACUGGUCACUGUAAGUUUGGGAGCUGAGCUAGCUGUAGUUUAAAAUCUACACUUGUGUAUGCACGUGC